Molecule: non-coding RNA, 222 nt
Filed under: Bacillus solimangrovi
Lineage: Bacteria; Bacillati; Bacillota; Bacilli; Caryophanales; Bacillaceae
Description: T-box sequence
Rfam family: T-box leader
About the family: Uncharged tRNA acts as the effector for transcription antitermination of genes in the T-box leader family. T-boxes are found upstream of many aminoacyl-tRNA synthetase genes and some amino acid biosynthetic genes usually in Gram-positive bacteria.
Source: RNAcentral
UAAAAAGUAAUGAUGAGGAUUAGAGUUAUUUCUACGAUUUACAGAGAGAGAAGCCUUGGCUGGGAGCUUCUUAAUACGAGAAAUGGACUUACUACCUCUGAACUUCAGCGGGGUUAAUCUGCUGACGGUGACCAUAACCGUUAUCUUUAACGAAGCUAUACAGGUUAGCUGUCUGUAUAGAAAUUUAGGGUGGAACCACGGGUAUAAACACUCGUCCCUUUU